RNAcentral lists this ribosomal RNA (252 nucleotides) under uncultured bacterium. RNAcentral describes it as "partial 16S ribosomal RNA". It matches the Rfam family "Bacterial small subunit ribosomal RNA", at positions 524 to 776 of the family's 1533-position model. The record is from RNAcentral.
GACGGGGGGUCCUAGCGUUGUUCGGAAUCAUUGGGCGUAAAGCGUGUGCAGGCUGUUCGAUAAGUUGGAUGUGAAAGCCUUGGGCUCAACCCAAGAAGUGCAUUCAAAACUAUCAGACUUGAGUACGGAAGAGGAUCGUGGAAUUCCUAGUGUAGUGGUGAAAUACGUAGAUAUUAGAGGAACACCGGUUGCGAAGGCGGCGAUCUGGUCCAGUACUGACGCUCAUACACGAAAGCGUGGGGAUCAAACAUG